Molecule: ribosomal RNA, 402 nt
Filed under: Triticum aestivum (bread wheat)
Lineage: Eukaryota; Viridiplantae; Streptophyta; Magnoliopsida; Poales; Poaceae
Description: partial small subunit ribosomal RNA
Source: RNAcentral
AUGGAUGAGGUCACAAGGGAUAUACAAGGAGAUAGCCCAUGGUGUAUGCUAUUUGCGGAUGAUGUGGUGCUAGUUGACGAUAGUCGGACGGGGGUAAAUAGGAAGUUAGAGUUAUGGAGACAAACCUUGGAAUCAAAAGGGUUUAGGCUUAGUAGAACUAAAACCAAGUACAUGAUGUGCGGUUUCAGUACUACUAGGUGUGAGGAGGAGGAGGUUAGCCUUGAUGGGCAGGUGGUGCCUCAAAAGGACACCUUUCGAUAUUUGGGGUCAAUGCUGCAGGAGGAUGGGGGUAUUGAUGAAGAUGUGAACCAUCGAACCAAAGCGGGAUGGAUGAAGUGGCGCCAAGCUUCUGGCAUUCUCUAUGACAAGAGAGUGCCACAAAAGCUAAAAAGCAAGUUCUAA